UGUAUGUGUAAGGAGGGGACGGGAGGGGAGGGGGGAGAGCUGGCAGCCAGCCAGCUACCAUCAGAAUUAGCUCAUUGUUCAAUAUAACCGGCACUGGCAACCAAAAUCCAGCCUGAGGGGGGGGGGGGGGGGGGGGGGGGGGAGAGAGAGAGAGAGAGAGAGAGACUUUCCCCCAGCCACCCCCACCCCUUUUUCUUUUUUCUCCAAGGCUGCACUUUGGAAGAGGUGCAGUCAUUCUUCCCCACACCCCCUACCCUCUCUCCACUCCCCCAACUAUAAAUUCCCCUCUGUAGCAUGCUGCCCUUUUUAAAUCCACAUUUGUGUUUCAGAUCAUGUAGAAAGGACAGAAAGUGAGCAGGGAGCGGGGGCUUUUGUCUAUUGUUCUCCUUGUGCUACUUGAGAGAAACUGCAAUCCCAAGACUUAACAGAAUCUAAAAAUGGUUUGUCAACCAAGGUUAAUGAUUUGGGUAAGCCAGAAAAUCUUUCCAACCAGCCGAGGGGAUGGGGGAUUUCCAAAGGGAAGUCUCCCCAUCUCGAAGGAAGUAAACCGCAAGAAGAAAAGUGAGGCAGAAGGGGCAUGCCCGGUUCCAGUAGAUGGCUAUGGACACCAUUUCACCCAAAUCAAUCACCUCUGCUCUUUUUAGUCAUAAUUUCUUCAUUUGUAUUACAUAUGGUGUAUGGGUUUGAUGAGGUCAUGGUGUCAUAUAUUGGGAAUUGUUUCUGUGUAAAUCAU
Molecule: long non-coding RNA, 733 nt
Organism: Aquila chrysaetos chrysaetos
Lineage: Eukaryota; Metazoa; Chordata; Aves; Accipitriformes; Accipitridae
Exons: 4
Source: RefSeq, a predicted model, not a curated record